UACAGAGGGUGCAAGCGUUAAUCGGAGUUACUGGGCGUAAAGGGCGCGUAGGCGGGAAUUUAAGUGAGUUGUGAAAUCCCUGGGCUUAACCUAGGAAGUGCAACUUAAACUGAGUUUCUAGAGUAUUGUAGAGGGUAGUGGAAUUUCCGGUGUAGCGGUGAAAUGCGUAGAGAUCGGAAGGAACACCAGUGGCGAAGGCGGCUACCUGGACAAAUACUGACGCUGAGGCGCGAAAGCGUGGGGAGCAAACAGG
This 253-nucleotide ribosomal RNA is filed under the name uncultured bacterium. Its description in RNAcentral is "partial 16S ribosomal RNA". It matches the Rfam family "Bacterial small subunit ribosomal RNA", at positions 524 to 776 of the family's 1533-position model. The record is from RNAcentral.